AUAAAGUUUUAUUCUCGCUUAAGGAAUUGUUACAAUAAUGAUUUAUAUGUAAUUUGUUAAUGAUUUAAAAGUUAUAUAAACAGUACUUAAUAUUGGACAAUUAAGGUGAUUUAGAUCCAGUGAAUAUUAUACUGCUGGUUAAAUUCGUGCCAGCCGCCGCGGUUAAACGAUGGGCAGAAAUAAUUUAGUUUUAAUUAGAGUUAUUUUGUUAUAUUAAUUUAUUAUGUAUAAUUUGGGGUGAAAUCUGAUUAUUUUGUAUGUUAGAAUUAAAAGGCUUGUAAAGCUUAGUAAAAGACUAGGAUUAGAUACCCUAUUAUGAAAGUUGUAUAGGUUGAUUAGGAUAUUAUAAGAUAUGGCCUUUAAAUUCAAAGAAUUUGGCGGUAAUUUAAUCUAUUUAGAGGAAUCUGUUCCGUGAUCGAUAAUACACGAGAGUUACUACUUAGGUUAUUAGUUUAUAUACCGUCGUCAUCAGGUUAUUUUUAAUUAAAGUUUUCUUAUUUUAUGAUUGUAAUUUAUGUCAGAUCAAGGUGUAGCUUAUACUUAAGAGGAAAUGGAUUACAUUAAGGUUACUUAAACGGAUUGUUAUGGUAAAUGUAACAUGAAGGUGGAUUUAUUAGUAAAUUUAUGAUAAAUUGAUAUUAGUUCUAAAUUGUGCACAUAUCGCCCGUCGCUCUCGUGAUUUGAUGAGAUAAGUCGUAACAUAGUAGAUGUACUGGAAAGUGUAUCUGGAAUUUC
RNAcentral lists this non-coding RNA (735 nucleotides) under Myrmecophilus sp. The record is from RNAcentral. Lineage: Eukaryota; Metazoa; Arthropoda; Insecta; Orthoptera; Myrmecophilidae.